RNAcentral lists this ribosomal RNA (424 nucleotides) under uncultured bacterium. Its description in RNAcentral is "partial 16S ribosomal RNA". It matches the Rfam family "Bacterial small subunit ribosomal RNA", at positions 354 to 795 of the family's 1533-position model. The record is from RNAcentral.
GUGGGGAAUCUUAGACAAUGGGCGCAAGCCUGAUCUAGCCAUGCCGCGUGAGCGAUGAAGGCCUUAGGGUUGUAAAGCUCUUUCGUGGGGGAAGAUAAUGACUGUACCCCAAGAAGAAGCCCCGGCUAACUCCGUGCCAGCAGCCGCGGUAAUACGGAGGGGGCUAGCGUUGUUCGGAAUUACUGGGCGUAAAGCGCACGUAGGCGGAUUGGAAAGUUGGGGGUGAAAUCCCGGGGCUCAACCCCGGAACUGCCUUCAAAACUCCCAGUCUUGAGGUCGAGAGAGGUGAGUGGAAUUCCGAGUGUAGAGGUGAAAUUCGUAGAUAUUCGGAGGAACACCAGUGGCGAAGGCGGCUCACUGGCUCGAUACUGACGCUGAGGUGCGAAAGCGUGGGGAGCAAACAGGAUUAGAAACCCGAGUAGUC